RNAcentral lists this ribosomal RNA (1126 nucleotides) under Microbacterium sp. RNAcentral's name for it is "bacterial SSU rRNA". It matches the Rfam family "Bacterial small subunit ribosomal RNA", at positions 357 to 1501 of the family's 1533-position model. The record is from RNAcentral. Lineage: Bacteria; Bacillati; Actinomycetota; Actinomycetes; Micrococcales; Microbacteriaceae.
GGGGGGCAUGCAUGGGCGGAGCCUGAUGCAGCAACGCCGCGUGAGGGAUGACGGCCUUCGGGUUGUAAACCUCUUUUAGCAAGGAAGAAGCGAAAGUGACGGUACUUGCAGAAAAAGCGCCGGCUAACUACGUGCCAGCAGCCGCGGUAAUACGUAGGGCGCAAGCGUUAUCCGGAAUUAUUGGGCGUAAAGAGCUCGUAGGCGGUUUGUCGCGUCUGCUGUGAAAACCCGAGGCUCAACCUCGGGCCUGCAGUGGGUACGGGCAGACUAGAGUGCGGUAGGGGAGAUUGGAAUUCCUGGUGUAGCGGUGGAAUGCGCAGAUAUCAGGAGGAACACCGAUGGCGAAGGCAGAUCUCUGGGCCGUAACUGACGCUGAGGAGCGAAAGGGUGGGGAGCAAACAGGCUUAGAUACCCUGGUAGUCCACCCCGUAAACGUUGGGAACUAGUUGUGGGGUCCAUUCCACGGAUUCCGUGACGCAGCUAACGCAUUAAGUUCCCCGCCUGGGGAGUACGGCCGCAAGGCUAAAACUCAAAGGAAUUGACGGGGACCCGCACAAGCGGCGGAGCAUGCGGAUUAAUUCGAUGCAACGCGAAGAACCUUACCAAGGCUUGACAUACACGAGAACGCCGUAGAAAUACGGAACUCUUUGGACACUCGUGAACAGGUGGUGCAUGGUUGUCGUCAGCUCGUGUCGUGAGAUGUUGGGUUAAGUCCCGCAACGAGCGCAACCCUCGUUCUAUGUUGCCAGCACGUAAUGGUGGGAACUCAUGGGAUACUGCCGGGGUCAACUCGGAGGAAGGUGGGGAUGACGUCAAAUCAUCAUGCCCCUUAUGUCUUGCGCUUCACGCAUGCUACAAUGGCCCGGUACAAAGGGCUGCAAUACCGUGAGGUGGAGCGAAUCCCAAAAAGCCGGUCCCAGUUCGGAUUGAGGUCUGCAACUCGACCUCAUGAAGUCGGAGUCGCUAGUAAUCGCAGAUCAGCAACGCUGCGGUGAAUACGUUCCCGGGUCUUGUACACACCGCCCGUCAAGUCAUGAAGUCGGUAACACCUGAGCCGGUGGCCCACCCUUGUGGAGGGAGCGUCGAAGGUGGGAUCGGUAUAGGACUAGUCGUACCAAGGGUAACC